RNAcentral lists this ribosomal RNA (253 nucleotides) under uncultured bacterium. Its description in RNAcentral is "partial 16S ribosomal RNA". It matches the Rfam family "Bacterial small subunit ribosomal RNA", at positions 524 to 776 of the family's 1533-position model. The record is from RNAcentral.
UACGGAGGGGGCUAGCGUUGUUCGGAAUUACUGGGCGUAAAGCGCACGUAGGCGGCUUUGUAAGUUAGAGGUGAAAGCCCAGGGCUUAACCCUGGAAUUGCCUUCAAGACUGCAUCGCUAGAAUCGUGGAGAGGUGAGUGGAAUUCCGAGUGUAGAGGUGAAAUUCGUAGAUAUUCGGAAGAACACCAGUGGCGAAGGCGACUCACUGGACACGUAUUGACGCUGAGGUGCGAAAGCGUGGGGAGCAAACAGG